UCAUUUGUACCUUCAAGCUCUGCUUGGUGUUGGGUGUUUGUCUCGCCUCUGCGUGUAGACUCGCCUUAAAACAAUUGGCAGCCGGCGUAUUGAUUUCGGAGCGCAGUACAUCUCGCGCUUUGCACUCAUAACGACGACGUCCAAAAGUACAUUUUUACACUCUUGACCUCGGAUCAGGUAGGGAUACCCGCUGAACUUAA
This 200-nucleotide unclassified non-coding RNA is filed under the name soil metagenome. RNAcentral describes it as "partial contains internal transcribed spacer 2 and large subunit ribosomal RNA". The record is from RNAcentral.